Molecule: non-coding RNA, 194 nt
Organism: Oryza barthii
Lineage: Eukaryota; Viridiplantae; Streptophyta; Magnoliopsida; Poales; Poaceae
Source: Rfam
AAAAAGACAAAUUAUGAAUUUUCGUGUUCAACUUUGACUGUCCGUCUUAUAUGAAAUUUUUUUAUAAUUCGUAUUUUUAUUGUUGUUAGAUGAUAAAACAUGAUUAAUAUUUUAUGCGUGAAUUGUCUUUUUAUUUUUUUUCAAAUAAGACAGACAGUCAAACGUUGGGCACGGAAACCAAGGCUUGUCUUUUU